Non-coding RNA from Phascolarctos cinereus (koala), 279 nucleotides. Lineage: Eukaryota; Metazoa; Chordata; Mammalia; Diprotodontia; Phascolarctidae. The record is from RefSeq and is a predicted model, not a curated record.
GAAGGAUUUUGUCUUGAGUCUACUAUCUCAGUUUAAGGUCUUUGGUACUUUGGGUAUCAGCCUCCAAAACACUGAGCUGACUCUGGCAAUGAGUGUGGCAACUUCGUUAGCAAUAUUUAUGUCCCUGGAAAGUACAAGAGGAUCACUCAAUAUUCUAUGACAGUAGUUCUCAAGACUAAAGAAAAACAACUUUGAAAAACUUAAAAACUUGGAUGACCAACCAUGACCCUCGAAGAUCAAGGAAAAAGCAUGCUCCCACCUUUUGAAAGAGAGAUGAUG